UACGUAGGGUGCAGGCGUUAAUCGGAAUUACUGGGCGUAAAGCGUGCGCAGGCGGUUUGCUAAGACAGGUGUGAAAUCCCCGGGCUUAACCUGGGAACUGCGCUUGUAACUGGCAAGCUAGAGUGUGGCAGAGGGGGGUGGAAUUCCAGGUGUAGCAGUGAAAUGCGUAGAGAUGUGGAGGAACACCGAUGGCGAAGGCAGCCCCCUGGGUCAAGAUUGACGCUCAUGCACGAAAGCGUGGGGGGCAAACAGG
This 253-nucleotide ribosomal RNA is filed under the name uncultured bacterium. Its description in RNAcentral is "partial 16S ribosomal RNA". It matches the Rfam family "Bacterial small subunit ribosomal RNA", at positions 524 to 776 of the family's 1533-position model. The record is from RNAcentral.